CAGUCUUCAUCCGCGGCAACGUCGCCGGUGGAGUCAGCCUGUCUGAACACUCUUGUCUAUCUACUCCUAGUUGCUUUGGCGGGUCGUCUCCGGACCGUCAGGGGCCUCGGCCCCCGGCGUGUGCCCGCCAAAAGCCUCAAUUCAACCGCAACAACGUGUCUUGUCUUAAUUAAAACAAAAAAUAAACAAAACUUUCAACAACGGAUCUCUUGGUUCUGGCAUCGAUGAAGAACGCAGCGAAAUGCGAUAAGUAAUGCGAAUUGCAGAAUUCCGUGAGUCAUCGAAUCUUUGAACGCACAUUGCGCCCCCUGGUAUUCCGGGGGGCAUGCCUGUCCGAGCGUCAUUAUCAAUCUCAAGCCCGGCUUGAUGGUGGGUCUCACCGCCCCGGCGGUCGUCCUGAAAGACAGCAACGUGGCCCCGAACGCCGUGGAUGCAGCGAGCUUUCUAAGCACGCGUCCCGGCGUCUGCGGGCGACGUCUCAACCCCAACCUUAGGUUGACCUCGGAUCAGACAGGAUUACCCGCUGAACUUAAGCAUAUCA
This 541-nucleotide ribosomal RNA is filed under the name uncultured fungus. Its description in RNAcentral is "eukaryotic LSU rRNA". The stretch from base 190 to 343 matches the Rfam family "5.8S ribosomal RNA". Lineage: Eukaryota; Fungi. The record is from RNAcentral.